UACGGGGGGGGCAAGCGUUGUUCGGAAUUACUGGGCGUAAAGGGCUCGUAGGCGGCCAACUAAGUCAGACGUGAAAUCCCUCGGCUUAACCGGGGAACUGCAUCUGAUACUGGAUGGCUUGAGUUCGGGAGAGGGAUGCGGAAUUCCAGGUGUAGCGGUGAAAUGCGUAGAUAUCUGGAGGAACACCUGUGGCGAAAGCGGCGCACUGGACCAUAACUGACGCUGAUGCGCGAAAGCUAGGGGAGCAAACAGG
RNAcentral lists this ribosomal RNA (253 nucleotides) under uncultured bacterium. RNAcentral describes it as "partial 16S ribosomal RNA". It matches the Rfam family "Bacterial small subunit ribosomal RNA", at positions 524 to 776 of the family's 1533-position model. The record is from RNAcentral.